Small nuclear RNA from Jaculus jaculus (lesser Egyptian jerboa), 191 nucleotides. Its record names the gene U2. It matches the Rfam family "U2 spliceosomal RNA". Rfam says of the family: U2 is a small nuclear RNA (snRNA) component of the spliceosome (involved in pre-mRNA splicing). Complementary binding between U2 snRNA (in an area lying towards the 5' end but 3' to hairpin I) and the branchpoint sequence (BPS) of the intron results the bulging out of an unpaired adenosine, on the BPS, which initiates a nucleophilic attack at the intronic 5' splice site, thus starting the first of two transesterification reactions that mediate splicing. NCBI's taxonomy places the organism in Eukaryota, Metazoa, Chordata, Mammalia, Rodentia, Dipodidae. The record is from Ensembl.
AUUGCUUCUCAGCCUUUUGGCUAAGAUCAAGUGUAGUAUCUGUUCUUAUCAGUUUAAUAUAUGAUACAUCCUCUGUCUGAGGACAAUAUAUUAAAUGAAUUUUUGGAGCUCGGAGUUGUAAUAGGAACUUGCUCCGUCCACUCCACACAUUGACCUGGUAUUGCAGUACCUCUAGGAACGGUGUACCCCCU